AUUGAACGCUGGCGGCAGGCCUAACACAUGCAAGUCGAGCGGUAGAGAGGUGCUUGCAUCUCUUGAGAGCGGCGGACGGGUGAGUAAUGCCUAGGAAUCUGCCUAGUGGUGGGGGAUAACGUUCGGAAACGGACGCUAAUACCGCAUACGUCCUACGGGAGAAAGCGGGGGAUCUUCGGACCUCGCGCCAUUAGAUGAGCCUAGGUCGGAUUAGCUAGUUGGUGAGGUAAUGGCUCACCAAGGCGACGAUCCGUAACUGGUCUGAGAGGAUGAUCAGUCACACUGGAACUGAGACACGGUCCAGACUCCUACGGAGGCAGCAGUGGGGAAUAUUGGACAAUGGGCGAAAGCCUGAUCCAGCCAUGCCGCGUGUGUGAAGAAGGUCUUCGGAUUGUAAAGCACUUUAAGUUGGGAGGAAGGGUAGUAACCUAAUACGUUGCUACUUUGACGUUACCGACAGAAUAAGCACCGGCUAACUUCGUGCCAGCAG
This 490-nucleotide ribosomal RNA is filed under the name uncultured bacterium. Its description in RNAcentral is "bacterial SSU rRNA". It matches the Rfam family "Bacterial small subunit ribosomal RNA", at positions 30 to 514 of the family's 1533-position model. The record is from RNAcentral.